GUGCGAGCUAGACCGGGGAGCUCGGCGUUCCCUGCAACCAGAAACCGUCGAUAUGCUGGGGUCGAAGUCAAGAGGCGGUGUGUCCGGCGGCAGGUGAUCCAUCUGCGGACGAUGAAACUUCGUCCCUGGGGAUCGGAGGUGAUGAUCGCGUAUGAUCGGAGGAUCACAUGCUCAUCUUUGCUGCGAGCACCGGGUCAGGCACGGAAGUGAGCAGCCCUACCGCAGACUCUCGAUGCUCUAGGGGUAAGCGGGGUUGAGAAAGCAGAUGGGAAGUCAUCUGCCGUCUUGCAUACCCACUCGCGACGUGCUCGCAU
Molecule: signal recognition particle RNA, 314 nt
Filed under: Thermoplasmata archaeon
Lineage: Archaea; Methanobacteriati; Thermoplasmatota; Thermoplasmata
Description: signal recognition particle sRNA
Rfam family: Archaeal signal recognition particle RNA
Source: RNAcentral